This 29-nucleotide non-coding RNA is filed under the name Mus musculus (house mouse). Lineage: Eukaryota; Metazoa; Chordata; Mammalia; Rodentia; Muridae. The record is from RNAcentral.
UGAGUCCGCUUAUACAAUGCUGCCCAUGU